CUUUUUCUCUUUUUUUACUAAUAAUAACCAACUAAUACUUCUUUUAUGAGUUGUAUUAUAACUACCUUAUUCGCUGGUAAUAAUAAUUUAUUGGAUUUAAACCGUCGGUUCAAAAUAUUUAAGUUCAGUUAUUAUUAUUAAGCUUCGUGAUUUUUUCGAUAUAUAACUAUUGGAAUGUCACAGACUUUCUUAUUAGUCUAAUCAUAUAUACAAUUUAAGAUCAUAAGAAAAUACGAGAUCCGUUUCACACUUUUGAUUGAUGAACCAGCUCUGAUACCAAAUAUAACGAUCCGAUCCGUUGAUAAUAAUAACUUGUCGGGCCAAAAUUAAUGGCCCAAAAUGCUUAAGUCAAAUUAUUAAUAUUAGAAUUUAUAAUCUCUUAUAUAUCAAAUCAUAAUUUUAUUCCUAUUCACUA
This 415-nucleotide long non-coding RNA is filed under the name Ananas comosus (pineapple). Its description in RNAcentral is "long non-coding RNA (ACOM_LNC035053)". Lineage: Eukaryota; Viridiplantae; Streptophyta; Magnoliopsida; Poales; Bromeliaceae. The record is from RNAcentral.